Panonychus citri (citrus red mite) is the source of this 2090-nucleotide long non-coding RNA. RefSeq lists it as uncharacterized. The transcript has 6 exons. The record is from RefSeq and is a predicted model, not a curated record. NCBI's taxonomy places the organism in Eukaryota, Metazoa, Arthropoda, Arachnida, Trombidiformes, Tetranychidae.
GAAUCUUUUUGUUUACUUUGUUGAUUGUUUCUCUUUUUUAAUUAUUUUUUUUCUCUUUUAUUAUUUAUGUCAUUUAUUUCUUAAUUGUUGAUCAUAUUUUUUAUUCUUUUCCACUUGUAAUUCCUAAUUCAGUUGCGAAUUCAGGUGUCAAUUGGUCGUUGAAUUGGAAGUUGAGAAAAUGUCUCUUCUCUUUGGCGUUGGUUUGAUUGUUCAUAUCUUUGGAUUGGCGAUUCUUCAAGAUUAAGAGCUGAUUGUUAUUCAUUAUGGUGGAAUUUCAAAAUUAUUCUUUUAUCUAAUUCUCUUUAUUAGAAUUUCAUCUUUAGCAUGAUCAUUUUGGUGUAGUGUCUUUGGAGAAGGAGGUAAAAACAACGAAAUGGAACUGGAAAUGAUGAUACACCAAGAUGAAUAUGAUUACAAUUUGUUACUCUCCACAGGAAUCAUCAUUCAGAUUGCUUACAUUAUUGCCCAUCAAUUUAAUGGACCAAAAUUACCUAACUAAAUAUCGUCAAUUGUUAAUAUGCUGCUGAUUUGAUUGUCUUGAUAAUUUCCAUUGUUAUCACCUUAAUCAUCCAUUUCAAUCAACUAAUUUUUACUCUACAAUCUUAAAGUAUCACAAUUGGAUCAUCAGUUGGAUACAAAUUUAAUCAAAUUUCAUCAGCUGAUUUCCAUUAGAUAAACAUAUCAAAAUCAGUUAAUUUCUUUCAGGUAACAAUCCUCCAAUUCCUGUAACUACUGAUUAAUGGGGAUACUUAAUAAUGGAUUGUUUUUGUUUUUUUAACAACAAUGUUAAGCAAUCACCAUGAGAUUCAUUUAAUGCUUAAUUUAACUGAUUUAUGCUGGAUAAUCAAGUGAAUAUAUCAUAAUAUCUAUGAACCAUAUAACUACGUCAUCUUUAAUUCACCUAAACCAGCUUAACCAUUUCAUCAUAACAGACUAACCCUUUUAAAAGCUUAAGCCAUAAGCCUAAUCAUUUGUUAUUAAUUUAUGAAUGAGUAUUUUGCUUCAAAAUAUCAUCAUCAUCAUCAUCUCUUUCUUUUCCUCUCUUAGAUUUAUCUUCAAUAUAAACAAGGAAACAUUCAUCAUUCAUCAUUCAUCCCUGAUUCCUUAUCAUCAUCCAACAGUAUUAAUAAUAUUAAUCUGGCAACACCAAAAUAAAGCAAAGUGAUCACCUUAUCUCAAUUAUCAUCUACAUUAUCCUCAUCAUAUGUAUUAUCAGGAUGGAGAUGAAAAAAGAGACAAAGUUCACCCAACAACAUGUUCCUCAUUGAGAUUGAAUUAGAUGAUAAGAAAGAGAUGUCAACCUUUAUCCCCUUUAAAGAUCAAGAGUAAUUUCAAACAAUCAAAUAUUAAAUUAAUUGGUCACCCUCUUCUUUUCGUGUUCUAUGAGUACUCACUACCCACCCUCGAGUGUUCUAAUAGCUGUUGACUCUUAAAUCAGUUGUCAGGAGUUAGAGAGAGAGAGAGAGAGAGAGAGAGAGAGAGAGAGAGAGAGAGAGAGAGAGAGUAAAUGAUAUCACUAUUGGCUCAUUGACGCUCUUUUAUAUUGGUGAUUUUAAUAACAGUGAUAAACUAGUGACUCGAAAAUCAACUGGUUAAUGUACAAAUUUGUACUACGGUCGAGUACCUAUUGAAGUAUCUUUCUCUCUGGUGAGGAAUCAAAAGGAUAAUCCUAAAUUAACUCAAGAGGGAGAUCGUGAAAUUAAACAACAAAAGAGAGUCACAUUCAAUCACAAUAGAUUAUCGUAAAUUAUUGACGUUUUUUACUCUCCACUAAAGGUUCACUUGUAUUGAAAAUUAUUGAUUUGGAUUUAAAAACAAUAGGAAUUGAAUGAUCAAAAUUCACGACGAUUUGGACUAAACUCUUAUCAUUGCUUUUCUCUAGUGAAUAUACAUUGUAAAAACUAAAGGAAUUGGAAUUAUCAUCGAAAAUGGAUCAAAGAUAAAGAGAUAGGAAGAUGAGCUUUAAAUGUCACCUCGAAAUUCAAUAGCAACAAUUAAUCCUUGUCUCAUCCCAAAGGAACGCACUAAAAGGGACUGUCAUAUUUCACUAAUCUUUUUUUCCUUCUCUUACUUUAAUUUCCUCUGUCUCU